This 245-nucleotide ribosomal RNA is filed under the name uncultured bacterium. Its description in RNAcentral is "partial 16S ribosomal RNA". It matches the Rfam family "Bacterial small subunit ribosomal RNA", at positions 109 to 354 of the family's 1533-position model. The record is from RNAcentral.
AGUAACGCGUGAGGAACCUGCCUUUCAGAGGGGGACAACAGUUGGAAACGACUGCUAAUACCGCAUAAUACGCGGGUGUCGCAUGGCAUCUGCGUCAAAGAUUUAUCGCUGAAAGAUGGCCUCGCGUCUGAUUAGCUAGUUGGUGAGGUAACGGCCCACCAAGGCGACGAUCAGUAGCCGGACUGAGAGGUUGGCCGGCCACAUUGGGACUGAGAUACGGCCCAGACUCCUACGGAAGGCAGCAG